Molecule: ribosomal RNA, 771 nt
Filed under: Triticum aestivum (bread wheat)
Lineage: Eukaryota; Viridiplantae; Streptophyta; Magnoliopsida; Poales; Poaceae
Description: partial small subunit ribosomal RNA
Source: RNAcentral
AUGCAUUGGUACACUUGGUGGAAGUUAUGUUACCCAAAGAAUGAGGGUGGUAUGGGAUUCCGAGACCUUUACUCCUUUAGCCUAGCAAUGCUUUCGAAGCAAUGUUGGCGGCUUGUCACUGACCCACAUUCUUUAUGUGCUCGGGUGCUGAAGGCGAAGUACUUCCUAAACUGCAGCAUACUCGAAGCCACUUUGAAAAAUGGCGCAUCUUUUACUUGGCAAAGCAUCAUGAAGGGCGUUGCUACGUUCAAACUGGGAUAUAUAUGGAGGAUUGGGAAUGGUGAGAGCAUCAAUAUUUGGAAUGACCCCUGGGUACCAGCAAGUCCGGAUAGAAAAAUUAUCUCUGUACGUGGGCAGACUGUGUUGUCAAGAGUCAGCGAUCUAAUAGACCCAAAUACUGGGAUGUGGGAUGAAGAUCUUCUUCUAUCUAUCCUGAACCCAGUGGACGUUCGGAGAGUGCUGCAAAUCCCACUUAGUUACAACUCAUUUGAGGAUUUCAUCGCUUGGCAUCCAGACCGAAGGGGAAUUUUUUCAGUAAGGUCUGCGUACAAACUGCAAUAGAGUCAUACCUACCAGGCGCAGCAAAACUUAAGGGAGAGACCGGGGGGGUUCAAACUACCUGAAAUAUGGACGAGGCUAUGGAAGCUAAAAGUUCCACGAAAGGUUUCCAUCUUCUGUAGGCGUUCGCUGCAUGGAAUAAUACCCUUAAAAUCCAUACUUACCAAUAGGCAUGUUGGUUCAGAUAGUGCAUGUCCAAUAUGCCACCAGUGA